RNAcentral lists this ribosomal RNA (458 nucleotides) under uncultured bacterium. Its description in RNAcentral is "partial 16S ribosomal RNA". It matches the Rfam family "Bacterial small subunit ribosomal RNA", at positions 338 to 795 of the family's 1533-position model. The record is from RNAcentral.
CCUACGGGUGGCAGCAGUGAGGAAUAUUGGACAAUGGGCGAGAGCCUGAACCAGCCAAGUCGCGUGAGGGAGUACUGCCCUAUGGGUUGUAAACCUCUUUUGUCGGGGAGCAAAAGCCGGACGUGUCCGGCUGUGAGAGUACCCGAAGAAAAAGCAUCCGCUAACUCCGUGCCAGCCGCCGGGGUAAUACGGAGGAUGCCAGCGUUUUCCGGAUUUAUUGGGUUUAAGGGGUGCGCAGGCGGAUUGUUAAGUCAGCGGUAAAAUCGUGGGGCUCAACCCCAUCCAGCCGUUGAAACUGGGGGUCUAGAGUGUGCGAGAGGUAUGCGGAAUGCGUGGUGUAGCGGUGAAAUGCAUAGAUAUCACGCAGAACCCCGAUUGCGAAGGCAGCAUACCGGUGCACAACUGACGCUCAGGCACGAAAGCGUGGGUAUCGAACAGGAUUAGAUACCCUAGUAGUC